Molecule: ribosomal RNA, 417 nt
Filed under: Microcerotermes sp. 5 MTM-2009
Lineage: Eukaryota; Metazoa; Arthropoda; Insecta; Blattodea; Termitidae
Description: eukaryotic LSU rRNA
Rfam family: Eukaryotic large subunit ribosomal RNA
Source: RNAcentral
CAGUGAAAGCGUGGGGCUCGCACGGCAUAAAGCCGCUGCGAGCCGCUAAGGGAGGACGGCCGGUCGUUCCCGAACGGUGCGGCCGGCCAGCACUCCCGGGGCGCCUCGGCUUCGGCCGCAGGCGCACCCGGAGCGCACACGUUGGGACCCGAAAGAUGGUGAACUAUGCCCGGCCAGGACGAAGUCAGGGGAAACCCUGAUGGAGGUCCGCAGCGAUUCUGACGUGCAAAUCGAUCGUCAGAGCUAGGUAUAGGGGCGAAAGACUAAUCGAACCAUCUAGUAGCUGGUUCCCUCCGAAGUUUCCCUCAGGAUAGCUGGCGCCGAGUUGGAGUGGGACAGUCUCAUCCGGUAAAGCGAAUGAUUAGAGGCCUUGGGGCCGAAACGACCUCAACCUAUUCUCAAACUUUAAAUGGGUGA